GAUUUCGCCGGUCGGAGAUCCAAAGGUCUCUAUUAUUCCGAUUCUUGACCGUUGGAUUGAAGAAGGAAGAUCCGUAAAUAAAAACCAACUCCAAGUUUUUAUCAAGGAAUUUCGGUACUACAAGCGUUACAGUCAUGCUCUUGAGAUUUCAAUGUGGAUGACUGAUAAAAGAUACUUUGCACUUACAACUCGUGAUGUUGCCCUCCGGCUGGACUUGAUAUCAAAAGUUCAUGGUAUAGAACAAGCGGAGAGAUAUUUCAAUAAUAUUCCACAACAACUCAAAGUCCUUGAGGUUUAUGGUGC
Molecule: unclassified non-coding RNA, 303 nt
Filed under: Hevea brasiliensis (rubber tree)
Lineage: Eukaryota; Viridiplantae; Streptophyta; Magnoliopsida; Malpighiales; Euphorbiaceae
Source: RNAcentral